Molecule: long non-coding RNA, 550 nt
Organism: Polypterus senegalus (gray bichir)
Lineage: Eukaryota; Metazoa; Chordata; Cladistia; Polypteriformes; Polypteridae
Exons: 3
Source: RefSeq, a predicted model, not a curated record
CUGAUUGUGCUCAGGGCUCUUUCCUAGUAGUGCCGGUUUUCUGCUUAAUUGUAGUAACUGCAUAUUUCAGAGUUUCCAUGGCAUUCUGAUUUCACUCACCAAGUACUAAUUCUGGCUCAGAAUUUUUUAGAGGUCAACAGCUGCCCUUAUCUCUCAACAGGUGCACCUCAUGCGGAGUUUACGCAGCGGCUUUGGAUUACAGAAUGGAAACUUGUUUUGUUGCACGGCACGGACCAAGAAUACAAGAGUUGUUUGGCCAGCGGGGGGAGCAGAAGUGCUCUGCAAUGGAGAUGAAUAUAGGUAGGCCUACGUGCUGCAUCACCGCCAGGGACUGCCCUCAGCCCUAUAUAAAGGAGACAGUUUCCACAGUUCCUUGUUAGGGUGUUGUUCAGAGCAGAUGCCCGUUGAGUGCGAGUGGCCCCACCCUCAUUGGUACAAUUUGCCCCACCCCUUCUGGUCAGAACCAUAUAAAGGCUGGAAUUCCUGGAAGAAGACACCUCAAUCUUGACCCAAGCCUACUUCAAGACGGAGCUUCACAGACAGACUCUUA